This 657-nucleotide long non-coding RNA is filed under the name Trifolium pratense (red clover). RNAcentral describes it as "long non-coding RNA (TPRA_LNC004434)". Lineage: Eukaryota; Viridiplantae; Streptophyta; Magnoliopsida; Fabales; Fabaceae. The record is from RNAcentral.
AACUAUUACAUGAAAAGAAAAGAACUAAAAAGUCUUAUGAGAGCUCGACCGCAAGGUAAUUAAAGGUUGUACAAAAAUUAUUUCCACCAAGAAUUAAACUUGACUUCCUCCAAGCGAACCAUCCUAGCAUCUGCAAGCAAAAUGAAAAUCUAGAAGUAUGUGAUAGUUGAAGAAACAAAGACACAAAUAACAAUAUUAUACUCCAAAAAUAAAGGUAAAUAAAAUAAUACUAAACAUGAAAUUGAUAUAUAAAAAGUUAAAGAAUUAUAUUGAACAUAUAUCAGUCAAAUCAAUAUAUACAAAGCUUCUUUAAAUGUUGUGUAUUUUUUCAUAUCGUAAACCAAAGUCAUCAAAAUAGUUUGGAAAACAAAAAAAUAUAUUCAAAUAUGCAUGGUGGAAAACAAUAUUGUGUUGAUCAAAUGAAAAAUGAGAGUCAUAUAUAUAGACCAAAUUAAUCAAUAUCAUUCAAUUAGAUACUAAUUCUUUCCCUUUCUUUCUUAUUCUCCAAAGGAAUAUGCUAUAUUUUUCCUUUUAUGGUGUGCAACUAUUUCCUUUGUUAUAUCAUAAGGCAUUCAUAUUGUUAAUUUUUUUUUAGUUAUUUUAGUUUAUUGAAUUUAAGAUUUCCAAAUAUUUCCUAAACUAUUUAUAGAAAAGGUC